UGGGGAAUAUUGGACAAUGGGCGCAAGCCUGAUCCAGCCAUCCCGCGUGCAGGAAGACGGCCCUAUGGGUUGUAAACUGCUUUUCCAGGGAGAGAAACUUGCGUACGCGUUGCGCAAUUGACGGUACCCUGGGAAUAAGCAUCGGCUAACUCCGUGCCAGCAGCCGCGGUAAUACGGAGGAUGCGAGCGUUAUCCGGAUUCCUUGGGUUUAAAGGGUGCGUAGGCGGACUAGUAAGUCAGUGGUGAAAUCCUGCAGCUUAACUGCAGAACUGCCAUUGAUACUGAUAGCCUUGAGUUUGGUUAAGGUAGGCGGAAUGUGUAAUGUAGCGGUGAAAUGCUUAGAUAUUACACAGAACACCAAUUGCGUAGGCAGCUUACUGAGCCGACACUGACGCUGAGGCACGAAAGCGUGGGGAUCGAACA
This 423-nucleotide ribosomal RNA is filed under the name uncultured prokaryote. Its description in RNAcentral is "bacterial SSU rRNA". It matches the Rfam family "Bacterial small subunit ribosomal RNA", at positions 355 to 774 of the family's 1533-position model. The record is from RNAcentral.